CCCUUAGAUGUUCUGGGCCGCACGCGUGCUACACUGAACGGUUCAAUGGGUAAGGUAGUGCGAAAGCAUGACCUAAUCUCGAAAUUCGUUCGUGCUGGGGAUAGAAGCUUGCAAUUAUCCUUCUUGAACGAGGAAUACCUUGUAAGCGUGAGUCAUCAUCUCACGCUGAAUACGUCCCUGCCCUUUGUACACACCGCCCGUCGCUCCUACCGAUUGAGUGUUCCGGUGAGGCUUUGGGAGAAUGGCCUCAACAUGAGUUUAUCGUGUUUUGCCGUUUGAACUUAGUCAAACCUUAUCACUUAGAGGAAGGAGAAGUCGUAACA
RNAcentral lists this ribosomal RNA (323 nucleotides) under uncultured eukaryote. Its description in RNAcentral is "partial 18S ribosomal RNA". It matches the Rfam family "Eukaryotic small subunit ribosomal RNA", at positions 1470 to 1796 of the family's 1831-position model. The record is from RNAcentral.